UGGAGAACAGGGACUGGGCCUG
RNAcentral lists this microRNA (22 nucleotides) under Mus musculus (house mouse). RNAcentral describes it as "mmu-miR-6991-5p". Lineage: Eukaryota; Metazoa; Chordata; Mammalia; Rodentia; Muridae. The record is from miRBase by way of RNAcentral.